UACGAGAGGCCCAAGCGUUAUUCGGAUUUACUGGGCUUAAAGAGUUCGUAGGCGGCGCAGAAAGUAGGGUGUGAAAGCCCUCGGCUCAACCGAGGAAUUGCGCCCUAAACUACUGUGCUUGAGGGACCUAGAGGUGAGCAGAACAGAUGGUGGAGCGGUGAAAUGCGUUGAUAUCAUCUGGAAUACCGGAGGCGAAGGCGGCUCACUGGGGGUCUUCUGACGCUGAGGAGCGAAAGCAUGGGGAGCGAACAGG
This 253-nucleotide ribosomal RNA is filed under the name uncultured bacterium. Its description in RNAcentral is "partial 16S ribosomal RNA". It matches the Rfam family "Bacterial small subunit ribosomal RNA", at positions 524 to 776 of the family's 1533-position model. The record is from RNAcentral.